GGAGAUGUAGCUCAGUGGUAGAGUGCCUGCUUUUCAUGUAUGAGGUCCUGGGUUCACUUCCCAGUACCUCCU
RNAcentral lists this transfer RNA (72 nucleotides) under Dasypus novemcinctus (nine-banded armadillo). Its description in RNAcentral is "tRNA-Glu (TTC) (tRNA-Glu-TTC-14-1)". It matches the Rfam family "tRNA". Rfam says of the family: Transfer RNA (tRNA) molecules are approximately 80 nucleotides in length. Their secondary structure includes four short double-helical elements and three loops (D, anti-codon, and T loops). Lineage: Eukaryota; Metazoa; Chordata; Mammalia; Cingulata; Dasypodidae. The record is from RNAcentral.